CCGUAAACGAUGUCUACUAGUUGUCGGGAGACUUGAUCUCUUGGUAACGAAGCUAACGCGAUAAGUAGACCGCCUGGGGAGUACGGCCGCAAGGUUAAAACUCAAAUGAAUUGACGGGGGCCCGCACAAGCGGUGGAGCAUGUGGUUUAAUUCGAAGCAACGCGAAGAACCUUACCUACUCUUGACAUCCAGUGAACUUUCCAGAGAUGGAUUGGUGCCUUCGGGAACACUGAGACAGGUGCUGCAUGGCUGUCGUCAGCUCGUGUUGUGAAAUGUUGGGUUAAGUCCCGUAACGAGCGCAACCCUUGUCCUUAGUUACCAUCAUUAAGUUGGGGACUCUAAGGAGACUGCCGGUGACAAACCGGAGGAAGGCGGGGACGACGUCAAGUCAUCAUGGCCCUUACGAGUAGGGCUACACACGUGCUACAAUGGCAAGUACAGAGGGUUGCGAAGCAGCAAUGUGAAGCUAAUCCCAGAAAGCUUGUCGUAGUCCGGAUUGGAGUCUGCAACUCGACUCCAUGAAGUCGGAAUCGCUAGUAAUCGUGAAUCAGAAUGUCACGGUGAAUACGUUCCCGGGCCUU
This 581-nucleotide ribosomal RNA is filed under the name uncultured Gammaproteobacteria bacterium. Its description in RNAcentral is "bacterial SSU rRNA". It matches the Rfam family "Bacterial small subunit ribosomal RNA", at positions 800 to 1382 of the family's 1533-position model. Lineage: Bacteria; Pseudomonadati; Pseudomonadota; Gammaproteobacteria. The record is from RNAcentral.